This 318-nucleotide ribosomal RNA is filed under the name uncultured eukaryote. RNAcentral describes it as "partial 18S ribosomal RNA". It matches the Rfam family "Eukaryotic small subunit ribosomal RNA", at positions 1470 to 1796 of the family's 1831-position model. The record is from RNAcentral.
CCCUUAGAUGUCCUGGGCCGCACGCGUGCUACACUGAUGCAUACAGCGAGUACUUUCCAGCUCCGCGAGGCAGCUGGUAAUCAGCAAUAUGCAUCGUGCUGGGGAUAGAUCUUUGGAAUUAUAGACCUUGAACGAGGAAUUCCUAGUAAGCGCAAGUCAUUAGCUUGCGCUGAUUAAGUCCCUGCCCUUUGUACACACCGCCCGUCGCUCCUACCGAUUUCGAGUGAUUCGGUGAACCUUUUGGACAGCGUCUGUCCUCGUGUCAGAUGCUGAAAGUCAAGUAAACCAUAUCACUUAGAGGAAGGAGAAGUCGUAACA